ACCGGCCAAACACCUGGCAGCAGAAGUAAACUUCAGCAUGAAGCUGCAACACUCUUGCUAGCCCUUGGCACAGUUUUCCGGCCAGAAGCUCGGUCUCCAGUUUGAAAGGAGGGAAGUCGGGAAAAGUGCUGGGAGUUUGAGCAUUCACGUAUAGCCACCUCUCUCUGGCCCCUUUUGAGAGUCAACCCUUUUAGCUGAGCUGCCCGGGCUUCCGAGGAGAAAACUGUGCCAAAGCAGAAAACUGUCCGAGUUGUGAUUACUCAGUGAGCUGGCUUGGGAACGUGGAUGUAUCGCCCUCAUCCCCAGUCCCACUUCCCAGCCCCUACGCUGCUCUCGGAUUUUGCGCGGAUUGCGAGGCAACGUGCACCACGCACGCGACCCCGUGCUCGGCACAGGGCGGGAGCUCAGACCCCGCUCGCCUGGCCUUUUCCUGCACCCUCGCUGGGACAACGCCUGGGACGACUCUCAGGUGGGGACAAGUUGCCCCCAGACUUGUUUUCAGGUUGAAACUGAAGGCUUGUGGUCUCCCUGGCCUGGAAGCCUUGUCUGCUCCCUUAGACAGCUCUGCAUGUCUGGCCUGUGAUUGGAAAUGCUGACUCUGAAAGGUCUAGAAGAUUAGGAUGUCGUGGCCUGCUACUUAAGCACUGCACAGUCAUGUCACUGCAACUCAAAGCAGGGAAUGAGUUUCACCACAGUUUCCAAGGAAGUAAGGAAUGGUCUGCAUGCGUUGUAAAGGGUAGCCUAGAACUGGAAGGUGACUGUUCGGCUCAGUCAGGUCCUCACUCUUGUGGACUUGGACAAGAAGACAGUUAAGUCAUAAUAACAGGAGGAGACACAGAAACUGAGACUCGCCAAGAAACCCUAAUGGCAGAGCAUUCACACUGGAUGGCCGUCGCCGAGAGGCUGAUCACGUGAUGGAAUGUCUGAGCUUCCUGAGGGCGGGUUCUGGAACUUCCAGCACACUGCUGUGUCCAUGGAUAGCGGAUUGUAUUUUACAAAGACGGCUGCAGCAAUAUCUCCUGUUUCAACUGCUCUUCUAGAACCUUGCCACCUCCCCGUCAAGAGGUGUAUCCUAUGUCUCCUCCCUUUGAACCUGGAUGGAACUUUGAGACUGUCUCAAACAACAGAGUAGAGAUGAAGAGAUGCUGUAUUACUUCCGAAGGUCCACCCAGCUGAACUUGGGAAUGUCCUGAGCCAGACUAGCUUGGGAGGCUGGUCAGCUCCAUGGUGAGAUCAGAUUCCUACGUGGUAGCCACUGCUGCCUCGUCUGCAGUACAAUGAUAA
Long non-coding RNA from Camelus dromedarius (Arabian camel), 1284 nucleotides. RefSeq lists it as uncharacterized. The transcript is spliced from 6 exons. Lineage: Eukaryota; Metazoa; Chordata; Mammalia; Artiodactyla; Camelidae. The record is from RefSeq and is a predicted model, not a curated record.